GAUGAACGCUGGCGGCGUGCUUAACACAUGCAAGUCGAACGAGAAGUGAAGACGGAAACCUUCGGGCGGAAGGCUUUAUUUCGAGUGGCGGACGGGUGAGUAACGCGUGGGUAACCAGCCUCAUACAGGGGGAUAACAGUUGGAAACGACUGUUAAUACCGCAUAAGACCACAGCACCGCAUGGUGCGGGGGUAAAAACUCCGGUGGUAUGAGAUGGACCCGCGUUCGAUUAGCCAGUUGGCGGGGUAACGGCCCACCAAAGCGACGAUCGAUAGCCGAUCUGAGAGGAUGACCGGCCACAUUGGGACUGAGACACGGCCCAAACUCCUACGGGAGGCAGCAGUGGGGAAUAUUGCACAAUGGGGGAAACCCUGAUGCAGCGACGCCGCGUGAGUGAAGAAGUAUUUCGGUAUGUAAAGCUCUAUCAGCAGGGAAGAAAAUGACGGUACCUGAGUAAGAAGCCCCGGCUAACUACGUG
This 478-nucleotide ribosomal RNA is filed under the name uncultured bacterium. Its description in RNAcentral is "partial 16S ribosomal RNA". It matches the Rfam family "Bacterial small subunit ribosomal RNA", at positions 28 to 507 of the family's 1533-position model. The record is from RNAcentral.